This is a non-coding RNA of Camellia sinensis, 177 nucleotides long. Lineage: Eukaryota; Viridiplantae; Streptophyta; Magnoliopsida; Ericales; Theaceae. The record is from RefSeq and is a predicted model, not a curated record.
UGGAAACUUGCAGGUUAAUGUUAAUCACAAUUCGUUCAUUCAACAUUGCAAACUACCCAAAUGGGUUCGGGAAAUUGGUUCAAGUCAAUAAUUUGCCUAAAGAAAGCGAAGUACAAACGAUCCAAACAAGUGAAGGUACACACAGCGAACAACAAGCCAAAUGGAUCAGAAAACAGU